RNAcentral lists this long non-coding RNA (1296 nucleotides) under Lathyrus oleraceus (garden pea). RNAcentral's name for it is "Pisum sativum (pea) long non-coding RNA (PSAT_LNC007140)". The record is from RNAcentral. Lineage: Eukaryota; Viridiplantae; Streptophyta; Magnoliopsida; Fabales; Fabaceae.
CAUGUUCAUACAAACCAUAAACCAUUGCCAUAAAUAACUUCCCAUUCAAACUUUCAUUCAUGAUUAACAUUUCCAUACAACAUACAAUGAACACUUUUUAUUCAAAGAUUCAAAUUCAAUUCACAAUUCCAUAGUCAAUUCAUCACAUUCCAUACAAAAUUAAAUGCCAUAAUUGUUCCAUUACAUUUCUAUUCCCUAAACUACAACAUAACACAGCCUAUAAUCUAAACCCAAUAAUGCCCAAGUCAACUGCACCACACAAAUGAAACACCUUCCAAAUUCAACAUCCUGCUCAACACAACAUAAGCAUGACCUGCACUUCACUCUGCAUAAUAGCACACAACAAGCCAUUUCCCUAAUUCAGAUCAAGCAUUGCAUUGCAUCUCUUCAAUAGAACUUGGCCCUGCAAAAUUGAACCAUGACCUGCACAUACAUCACAAAUAAAACCUUGUUAACUGCACAUACUCUGCAUAACUCAACCACAACAAACAUUGCCAUUGCUGCAAACUGAAGCAUUGCCCUGCGGAAAACCACACAACCUGCAUAAUUUAAAAACUCCUUUCUCUGCAUUUUGGUGUAACAGCAUACCAAAUUAAGUCCACUAUAAGCUAACAAGGGUGCAAUGCACGAAAUCAAUAAUUAACAACUAACUUUCACUCAUAACCUCUCUAAUAGAAUUAUUGCAUUUUCAACUAUCUAAUGAGUUUCAGUGAAAUUUCAUUUACAUUUCAUAACUGAAAAUCAAAUUCUAUAAAUCAGAAACGCUUUAUUCAUUCAGGGGAGAGGAAUCAGAAAUCAGUUUUCACUCUUCACUGCAUAUUAUAAAAAACUCUCCACUCAUCAAGAUUCCAGCGAGUUUCCUUUUGCCUUUUGCUUCAAUCCUCGAUUCAAUUUCAUCACAAUCCACGGUCCGCUGCGUUGGUCGCUUUAAAAUUGAUUUCGUCAUCCUUGUUUCUGUCUCCACCAAAUUGAGAUGAAGUUGAGGGAUGAGUGUUUAAUUUGAGUUUUAGCAUGAAGUUCGAAGUUGUUUCUUGAAGCUCCUUCGAGAUGUGAGAACGGAUUUUAGAAGUGAGGAUUGAAAGUUGAUAAGGUCUUCUAAAGCAUUCUUGUUGAAUGGCUCGUGUUUGGAAUGUUGAGGUGUUUUGAUACGUUAGACUUGUUUGAACCCCUGGACCUGGCUUGGCUUCUGUUUAGUUUGGGCUUGAAGCCCAAACUUACUUUUCACACCUCCCUCAUCAGCUUCACACCCAUGGUCCAUAAUUAACCUUAAUCCAUUCUUAAUUGUAAUUACUUGUU